Molecule: long non-coding RNA, 5061 nt
Organism: Rosa rugosa (rugosa rose)
Lineage: Eukaryota; Viridiplantae; Streptophyta; Magnoliopsida; Rosales; Rosaceae
Exons: 8
Source: RefSeq, a predicted model, not a curated record
UAGAGAAAGACAGCAUAAACCAGAAAAAAGAAAAAGUUACUCUUCAACUUCUCAGUCGGCUAGUCUCACCUUCACAGCCUCUCUCUACAUAGGCUUCAUGAAACGGCUCUUCUUCCUCAUUUAUCUCUUCUUCGUCAUCAUCACUCUGUUGGAAUCGAAAGAAGAGGAGAAGAAUUCCGUUUCGAUAACUACUGGGUUCAGGGUUUUUGUGGGUUUUGAAAGGCUGAACAUUGGAGUUUGGAAUGUGGUUAUCUGGGCGAUUGAUUGGGAGGGUUUCAAGGAAAUGCUUUAAGGAGAGUUACAUCUUACAACCUGGAAUAUGGGCUUUUGAACAUCAAACCUGAAGGUUGCUCAGGAGUCAUUGGCAGAAGACUCAUUGAGGCAGCCAAAAUGAGAGCUGGGAGUUACAGUGGAGGAAUAAAAUGUGACUUGAGUGUGGCAAUAGCCCUUACCUGAUGACAGAAUUGCCAUCACUUGAAGCUUUAUGACAUCGGAUUAUUAUCUCAACCAAGGCACCAAAAGUUGGCGAAGAAAGUGACAAGGAUUCGUCUGAAAAAUCAGAAAGGAGUGACAGUGAUAGAGAAACUGAGGGCAAAACUGCAGUUGACAUCAAACCUGUCCAGUCUGAAGUCUGAAGCACCCAAGUACGUGGAACUUAUAACAAUCCACGCUGGAAAACCAUAGGGUGGUUUGGAAGAAGCUCUAGAGGUUGGUGAAAAAGUAAGACGUCUUAGUUUGAGUGAAUAAAACUAGAAAAGGCUGCUGAAAAUCAUGGAACUGAUAUUGUUAGGUUCACACAGAGGAACAUUCUAAGGAUCUACCCCAAAGGAACAUGAGUUACCUCCUCGAAUAACCAAUCGCAUGUUGGAGAUCGAUAAGAAAUAUAACCCGAUCUCUGGAUAUAAAACUUUAUGACAAGGACGUGGCAAAUCACGAUUGUUGAUGAAUGGGAUAUUUAGAGCCAAUUAAUGAGGAUGCGGUUACUUGAAAAAGCCUGCCUUUUUUAUGCACAAGGGCGCAAAUGAUGAGGUUUUUGAUCCUAAAAGGACCUUGAUAGUGGCAAAGACAUUGAAGGUGAAAGCAUACAUGGGGAAUAAAUGGCACUUGGAUUUUAGUCAAACACACUUCGAUUCAUUCUCCCCACAGACUUCUACACAAAAGUUAGUAAGAUCCGUUUUUGUUUUUCUGAUAAUUCAAGAAUUUGAUUCUAUUUUAGUUAUUGUUGCAAUCAGCUACAUUCCUAUUUUACUUUACCUUGAAUUUUAGACCAGCUCAUAAGCGAAUAUUGGAGUUGAGUAAUUGGGUUGACUAUAUGAUGAGGACAUCAUAGUCAAACCUUUUAAGGUUUAUGAGCGAAAGAAAUGGAAAAAGAGAGCAGCUAGUCAUUCCCUUUCCAUAUGGUUUGAUUAAUUGCUUUCAUUCUAGAAGUCUCUAGGCAGGUGUCUUUUCAGUUUCAGUUUGGGAGUUUUAAGUUUCUUUAUUAUUUCAAUUUCAGUUUAGGAGAUUAAAUUCCUUUAUUAGGUCUUUUAUGCUUCAGUUUUGUGAAGUGUAACAGCCCUAGCUAUGAAUGAGUCUUUAAUGCUAGUUAAUAUGAGCUAUCUGCUCAAAUAUAAAUAAGUGUAAGUGCCAAGUGGCCAGAUAUGUCUUGAUGAAUAAAAAAUUUCAGUGUGUUUCUGAGUUUUACUGAGAUUGGAGUGUUGGUGUGAAGCCUUGUGAGUGAGUGAGAAACCUGGGAGGGAUUCCUAGUUCAGAGUUCUCACUUUCUACCCUACAAAACCUGGGUGUUAAAGCCCUAAACCUUAGAGUUUGUUGAUCCUGGUGCCUAGGCAGUGAAUUUACUGCAUCACUAUAUACUGCUAAUAUACUUCUUUAACAUUACAUCUAACAUGCUUGCCAAGAUGCUUCUAUUGUUUGUUAUUAAGUUUCUAUAAAUGCAAAUACAAGAUUUUUUUUUUUGUCUCAUGGAAAGUUGUGCUUAACAUCUGUGAGUUUAUGCUCGUUGUGUUGUUCAUGGUUGUAAAUUGUUCCAACUGAUUGGAAAUGGGCAGUUACCUUCUUAACAAUUGAUACAAAUUUCAUGUGCGAUGCAUUUCGAUGUCGAGAUCCCUUAGGUCUGAAAAUAUGUUGCUUGGUUGUGUAAGCAUAACUUGCAUAUUAAAGUAUAAGGUUUUAUACUAGCAUAUGUUAUUUAAUAUGACAAAGUACAAGUAUCAUCUCUCCUUUUGAGUGACAGUUCUGUAAUAGAACAGUGGGAGUGGAUUGCUAUAUAGGAGUGCCUACGAUACGAAAGCAAGCAUUCAAACCUGCAGCAAGCAAACAAAACCGCGGCGAAGAAUAAGAUUUGUUUUUUUUUUCUUUUCUUUUUUUCAGUUGUAUUAGAAUUUGGUUUCUUUUAUAGGGUGAUUGUUUUCUAAUUGUGUCUUUUCUGGUGGCAAGUUUGUACCUUUUCCGUAUAUAGAUUUAGCUUUUGGGGGUGCAGUUCUGCAUGAAAGCAAGGUUUCCAGAUGGUGCAAGACUGGAGUUUAAACUAAAUUUGAUUAUGUCUGAUUCUUUGCAAUUUUGUGUACCCUUAUGUUGCUGGAGAAUUUAUUUUUUUCCUGCAUAUAGCUUUGGCGAUGAGAAAGGUUAGGAUUAUACAGUUCUAGAUUUAUAGGAGAGAGAAAGAUUCAAUUUUUUUUUUUUCACGGAAUCAGUGUGAUUCUAAAUGCCACAAGAACAUAUUCUUAAUUGGUUGAAUCCCAAACCCUUUGAGCAGAUUAAGUACUACCAGGAUACAAAGCCAAUGGUGAUAAAGUGGAAGAAUCUGAGUAUUUGGUUAAAGGUUAAGAUUAGAAGCUAAAUUGGAAGCAAAACUGUACAGGAAAUAGAACAAAACAAAGGUUGGCCUUCAAAAUGGAAGAAAGAUCAUUAUCAUUCUUCUUCUUAAGAAAGCCAAGAAUAAAGAUUUUCAUUAUCAUUCUUUCUGUUUUGGUACAAUUAUGAACAUUGUAGGUCCAGAAUUUGAUUGGAAGGUAUCUGCAGUUGUAUAUGCAGAGAUAAAGUUAGCAAUCCAAAAUCUUGGUAUUAUAGUUUUGGUUGAUAACUCUGAUUAUAUAUACAAAUAGAUCCUGCUGAAUGCCAUAUAUUACUCACAGACCCUCCUCUCAAUCCCACCAAGAACCGUGAAAGGAUUGUCUGUUUUUGUGAUAUCUUUAUUAGGCAGUAGCUUAGUUUGGUAAAUUUUUGUGUACUGUAAUGAAUAUUAUUGUUGGCCUCUCAUGAUUUGGCUUGAUUCAAUGUUUCAAUUCGAGACCAUGUUUGAGAAAUACAAUUUUAUUGCUGUCUUCUUUCAAAAUUGAAGCUGUUUUAACACUGUAUGCUCAAGGUGCUUAUAGAGAUGAUUAAAGGUUAAAUGUUUAUAUACCUGUUUUUACCUCAAUUUGUUAGUUCUUUCUACAUUGUUUGUACAAAUAAGCAUAUCUUUUGUUUUACUUUUUAGUUUUGUGGAAUUUCUGAAGAGGUGUAGAAGUUGUUUUUCAGAUUAAGUUAGCCUGAUACGAGGAAACAGUCUACCCUCAGAAUAAGGUAAUGUGUUCAAACAAUUAUAGUUAUGUUUUUGUUUGUUAUUGAGUAUAUGUUGUUGCAAGGGCCUUCACUUUUCCCAGGUUUCAUAUCUGAUCAGUCUGCGUUUUGUCACCAAGAUAUUUAUAUUGGUGAGUCUGAUUCUAUUUUAAGAAGUGCAACUAUAUUCCUUUAGUUUUCUCUUUGGAAAAGGGUUGCAGCAUUACUUUAUUUAUCUUCUUAUGUUGAUAAUUAGGGAAAUUGCCGUGUGAGGCACAUAGAUCUCAGAAAGCAGCUGUGUUUUUUGAACACAACUGGAACACAUGCCUAGCAACAAAUUACAUAAUUAAAUAGAAAAGUUAUACUAAAAAUGUGAUGGUCCUCUUCAGUGGUUCAGUGUAGGGAAAGCAUAUUGCAUAUUGUGAUGAAUAUAAACAAUGGUACAUUGUCUAUUUAGUAUCUUGAUCAUGUCUCCUUUUGUUUGGUUCAUGGUUACUUUUUGUCUUUAUACCCUCAAAAUCAAUUACGUUAGUGGGAAUACUCUUCCUGUAAAGUAGAUCUGCAUAAGAUAGGAUAGUUUCAAUCAUAAUGCAUCAUGUCUUUAGUUUUGUGUAGGGGUUUGGUUUUUCAUAUCGACUUCAAAUGGGUUUAUAACUCUUAUUUACACAAAAACAGAGCAACAGCAGCCUGUAGCUCAAUGGAACUUUUGUUACUCGCAUCCAAUGAUAAUUAUGAGAAACCACAAUGAGCUUAUUCUAAGCAAAAGAGCUACUACAUAGAGAAACUCAGUCAAACAAUAAAAGUUAUUUCAGUGAGUGAUAGGACAAACCCAAAAUAUUCUUUAGAGUGCUAUAAUCACAAGGAGUAAUUUCAGGGAUCUGAUUUGUGGAGAGAUAGAGAUCAGAUUAAAAAGUUUGCAAAAUCCUCCUUGGAACUCUGCAAGGUGUAUAUGUAUAUGGAGAUUUCUUUGUCUACUAGCAGCGAUGAUGAACUUCCCUCAGCUGAAAGGCACCUAAGGAACAUAAUUAGAUAGGCAAGAUACUUGCCAUUUCAAAAUGUUAGCAUUUGGAAUAUGUUGACAUAUGAUAUACUAAACACUAUUUUAUAUCAUUUGAAUCUCUUUAAUUCCUAUAGAUGUAUUACUAUUUUUGUAACUAAAUAACAUACAUUUGGGACAUGUCAGGUGGGGAGUUUCUCAGACAUGGAGGAACCUCAACAUCUUAAUGCCUGGCUUAAGAAGUGAAGUUAAAACUACUGUUAAAACUGGUGCUGUAGAUGUGUACCGAAAAGGGGGCAUGGUCAACCAGAGAUGAGCUAGAGUUUGAGUUCUUGGGGAGAUAUGCACUUUUCGUCACACAUAGCAUCUUUGAAAGGCCUUCACUUUUUCCAAGAUUGUCGCACUUAUAUGGUGUAACUAAUGUUUGUAAAUUGAAUAAUGUCGAAUUGAAUAAUGUGGAUGAUACACUCGUAGCAUCACCCGGGCUAUCUUGCUAAGUAAUAACUAAACCAUUGUUGGACUAA